UUUUUUAAUUGGAAGCUGGAAUGAAAGGUAAAUACUGAGGGGAAAGUUUUUUUUAAAAAGUUUGAAAUUAAAUUAAAAGUAAAAAUGCUUUUAUAAAUCUUUGGGACGAGAAGACCCUAGAAGCUUUAAAUGGAUGUAGGUAUAUAUAUACAUAAAUAUAGACAUUUUAAAUUGGGGUAAUUUGUGAAGAUAUAAAUUUUUGUUAUAAUGAAAAGUUACUCUAGGGAUAACAGCAUUAUUUAAUUAACAAGUUCUUAUUAAUAAUUAAGUUUGUGACCUCGAUGUUGAAUUAAUUUUUUAUUAUUUAUGGUGGAGGUGCUAUUAAAUUAUUAGUCUGUUCGACUAUUAAAAGAUUACAUGAUUUGAGUUCAAAUCGGUUUAAGCCAGGUCG
Molecule: ribosomal RNA, 391 nt
Filed under: Pseudogyndesoides pallidus
Lineage: Eukaryota; Metazoa; Arthropoda; Arachnida; Opiliones; Gonyleptidae
Description: partial large subunit ribosomal RNA
Rfam family: Bacterial large subunit ribosomal RNA (bases 72-391)
Source: RNAcentral